AUUUACCGCUCUACCACAAAGCGAUGUACUCGAGAAAUCGUAGUAGGAAGGUCUAAUUCUAACCCGAAGGUCCUGGAAACGGAGGGUUUUGUUUGGCGAGAAGAUGGAGCUCGCGCUCGUCGCCGGCGACAACAAGCGCCGCAUCAUCCAACAGCUUGGUUUCCAUUCAGAUAACACCGUUGAAUCGUUUGUGCUUUCUGUUGUUUCUUUUGUUUGAAGCAAAACCUUGCAUUUAUAAGUUUCUUAGCGUCUCUUAUUUCUUAUGUUUUCAGUGAAAAAGGGAUUUUUUUUCGUAGGUGUUGUAUGUGAUUUCACGGACAUGUUUUUUUGAAUAAUUUCCGUUCAUAUUUUCUUCCCUUUCCCUUCGGAAUUCCCAGAAUCUGGAUCUUUUUUCUUCCUGUUUUUGUGGUGUUUUUGGGACAUCCCUGGGACUAGUAGAAUGAAAGAAAAGAGUGUAAUUCCAAUGAAAAGAGCGUUUCUUUAUUGUUGAUUGUUACAUAGUGAUAAAUGCGAGAAGCUGGGUGUCUCCGGUAAGUUCUGAUGAUACUGGUAAAUUGGAAUUAACAUGCAGAAAUUUGGAUCAAGUUUUAAUAUGAAUCCAAGCAACAAGAAGAAGUUGUAAUUCACCAGUUUACUGGAUACAGUUCUAAUUUUAGAUUGCAAAGAUGAUGGAAGAGAAAGGUGGGUGGGUAGGUAACUUGCAAUGAUUAUCUCGACGGAUGUGAAAUGGGCAUGACAAGUCGUCACCAUAGUUACCGUGCUUUUCAACUUUACAUGGGAGUAGGGUACCAAGAAAGAGCAUGACUGUCAGAGCACAGGGAUCAAGUUUUUCUUUUUGUAAAUUUAAAGGUGGUUGAGAGGCAAUGCUAAUUGUUUUACAUAAUUAAUUAAUCAAGAUAAAGAAGACAGAAAGCAGGAAUAAGUUGACAAUACUGUCCAUCAAAAUCUUUGUGUUGAGUCAAGCAUCAUGAUUCAAUGGUCAAAAAAUCUUCUUACGAUUGUGUACAUGGAAUAUCACUCUUUGAUUUGGACACAAUUGAAUUUGGAAAACACCAAAACUGACAUGUAAACUCCUUUUGGAAAGAAAGAGGAAAAAUCCUGUUAUCAGCUGGCUAAUGUUAAGGCACGUUAUUGUCUUCUUUCUUGCUUCUGCUUUAAGAGAGAAUUUGCAUUACUAUAUACCUUUCAAGAUUAUAUGACUGCUUCUGUUCACAGUUAUCAAAAUAGAGGACUUCCUUGGCCAGAGCAUGAAUGUCAGAUUUUAGGGAUCUAGUUUUUAUAUAUUUUUAAUGUGGUUGAAAGAAAAUUCUAAUUGUUUUAUAGAUAUUUUAGUCAAGGUUCGCAAUAUCGUAUCGUACCAGUGUUUCAAUCUGGGCUCGAUACCGGUACGGUACGGUGUACCGAGCGGUAUACCCAAGUGCACCGAUCACUGUAGCACUGUAUUUCUAUUAUAACAGUGCACUGUAACAGUAACUGUACUGUUGUAGUGCUACAGUGUACUGCAACAGUGCACUGUACUACUAUAGUGCUACAGUGCACUGCUACAGCGGACCGGUAGCGGACGGUCUGCGUACCGUUAGCCUAUCGGACCGGUACGUACCGCCCGUACCGGGUGGUACGAUUCGGUACGAUAGACCUUGAUUUUAGCUAUGGUUGGUUUGAAAAUGUCAAAUUUUAUUAAAAAAAGAGAAGCAGAGCAGUAAGACCAUGAGAAUCAUGAGAAUCAUGUUUACUAUCCUUUAAUUUGGCCAAGAAUUAUGAACAUGACUUAAUCGACAUAAAAUUGAUCUCUAUCAAUCUUAUAUGUGGACGAUAAUCUUUGCUUUGGAUGGUACUGAAAUUAUUUACAAAUGGAUCUAACACCAGUGAUUUAAAAAGCGCUAGGCGCCAAGGUCCAAAAACGCCCGAGGUGUUAGGCGCUUGCCCGAGCGAAGCGAGACAUAAAAUAUAAAAAUAUAUAAUAUAAUUAAUAAAUAUAUAAUAUAAUUAAUAAAUAUUAAUAUAUUAAUAGUAUUAAAAAAUAAUAAUUUUAAAUAAACAUAACAAAUAUUAAUAGUAUACAGUAUACCGUUAACAGUAUACUAUUGUAUACUGUUAACAGUAUACUGAAGGAGAAGAAAGAGUGUAAGGGGGUGCUGAGUCUGCUGACUGAGAAAAGAGGAAGCGGCAGCGGCAGUGACAACGGCAGCGGCAGCGGGAGCAGGAGCAGGAGCGGCGAGCGACGACAGCGGCAGCGGUUGCGAGUAGCGACAGCAGCGAGUAACGGGCGCGGGAGUGGCAGCAGCAAUGAGCAGGGUUAGCCUGUUAGGGUUGGGCAACGACAACUGAUAUCUAUUUUAGUUGGUUCGAUUGAACCAACUAACCACCGGAGACCGAACCAGACCUAAAAUCCUAGUUUGGUCACCUGGUUUAACACAGGCGCUCGCCCGAAGCGCCCAGCGCCUGGGCUCGGGCGAGCGCCUCUUUGAAGUGCGUCACCUGGAAGUUUAGCGAGGCGCUCGGGCCUCGCCUCGCCCGAGCGCCUAGGCGAGCGCCCGAGCGCCUUUUUAAAUCACUGUCUAACACAUCAAAUUAUUGGAUGGUAAGGAAAGUUUUCCCUUCGAAAGGAGGAGAGCGAAGAUCCCAAUUACAUGUAAUGAUUAGCAGCUACCUUGCUACAAUGAGGAACCAUACUUUUCUCAUCUUUUUUUUUAUUUUUUAUUUAAGAGUCAUUUGCAUUGUUAUCUCCUUGAUAUUAGAUAUUUGGCCCUUUUUUCUUCUUUCUCUUCACCCUUUUCUUCUUUUUUGCUUGUCUUUUGGGGGGUUACUCUAUCGCUGCAAUUGAACUGAACCAGUAAUUGAACAUUUUGCCUUAGUUAUUUUCUUUUAAUUUAAUUUAAUUUAAUUUUUAUUUUGAUCGUCUCUUUAUUUUACAAUGUAUGAUUUCCACUUUCUAAUGCCUUCUUCCAAAUAGGUUGUGCUACAAAUAGGUCUCCAGAAGGAGAAGACUUGUCCAUGCUUAAAGGCCUCCACGUUUAAGAUGGCAUUUCCAUUAUCAAAAUGAUCUGAGCUAUUAUGGAAAAUUAGCUGACACAAUUAGGUAGUUUUACGUAGACUAAUAAGAUGAAUAUCCUGGUCAACAAUUUUCUCCGAACACCUAAAGUAAGCAAAAGACAAAAUAGCAGGAUAGGUUUAAAUCAAGAAGAACCACUUGCACUAUAAUCAAUGGGCCAUAUACAACAAAAAAUCAUGUUGUUUGGAGUGCAUGCACGUUAAAUAUUCAAACUUGCCAUUAUUGUUCAAUGCUAUGUUUCUUCGAAUUUGACCAUUGUUACAUGAAGGCCAUGUACAACAUCCAACACAUUUGAUACUUUUUAUAUGCAAAUUGAGAAGUAAUUUCUAGUUGUUCAACACAUGUUUUAUGAUCUCAUUUCACAAAGUUUCCAUUUCUCUCUUGGAUACAGCCUUGAUUCUUCUUACAGGUGUUAGUCACACAAGAUCAAUCUUAUUUGAAGUUAAUAAAUUAUCUCAAAGUUGUUUAUGUGGCAUAUUGACUUGCAAUUUCUGACAGUUUUGUUAGUUAGAAUCAUGAUUAUUCUGUAGGACUUCACUGGGAUCUUGAAUAUUCAAGGAACUUCAAUAAUGUGGACAAGUCAAUCAUGCAAUCCUAUUCCUGCAAGUACAGAGGCUAUUUUUGUGACUUUAACUGUGGUCAUCCAACAAAUUUACUGUAGUGCCAAAACUUAUCCCCAAUACAUGAAUAAUUACGUUCCUCUAAAUUAAAAAAAAAAGGAAUAUGACCAAUUUCUGAAUGUUAGAUUGUAUAGAUUUCUAAGUCAUAAACUUUGAGAUCAGCAUUGAUGUUUGAGAUGGGAUCAGGAUUAUGAGUCUAGCAUUGAACUUGCAUCAUGUAGAGCAGACAGCUAUGUUUGUCCAUUUCUUUUUCUCCCAGAGGGCAACCCUGCAUCUAACAUCACUGAUUGGCAUCAAUGUAAAGUCUAGCUUGUCCAUUUCUUUUUGUGCUCUUUGUAAGCAUGCUCAUGGACUCAUAUUUGCAAGGUAUACUUGGCAUAUCCCCAUAUUGGCAGGAGCCAUAUGUUCCAUCCUUUCUUUUCUAUUGGCAGAAAUUUUAACCUAGUGUUGCAUGUAUAAUUUGUUUGUUUUUGUUUUUUGGUUUAAAGUUCCAGAAAUGCAAGAUGUUACUGUUCUGCACUUCUAUGACAAUGUGGAGCAAGUUAAUUUUGUAAUUUUACUGGUCUCGGAAGGUGCUGUCUAAAUUACAUGUUGUUCAUACAGCUACUUGUGAACUGCUAAUAGUUUUUUUUCUUGCUGAAGUGAAUCAAGCAUGUUAUUCUCCAAUCCGUGGAAAAAUUCUUUGGACCCCAUAUUUAGUGUUCUCUUUGACUGCUUGCUGCUGUAGCCACAUGGAAUCAGAUUCUGUGAAAAUUGCUGUUGAAGGAGUUUGAAUUGUGUAAGAAUGAAAACUGUGAUUUGUUUAUCAUGGACACAAGCAAGCAUCACAGACAGGAAACUUUUCUUUUUAAAGAAAUGCAUCAAGUGUCAGAAGCAACAGUAGAUAAUUGUUCCUUUCAAUCAUAAUAUUCAACUUACAGUUGUUCUGUGAACAGAAAUUGGCCAAUUGUCCUUGCUCUUUUUCUCUGAAAUCGAUCUUAAUAUUUGUCAUGGACUGCAGCUGUUGAUGUAGCACAAGCUUUCUUGCAAACCUAGCAGUUGGAGCUUUGGUGAAGCAGAAGGAGCUGAUGCAUUUAGUGUGCAAGCCAUCUGUUGAUGAACUUGGUAUACUGUCAUGUGGAGGUCUCGUCUUGCUACCUGGUUUAAUGCCCAAGUGAUCCCUAAAGGCCAUGAAAAGGAAUGUCAACCAACAAUCAAGCUUUAUACAAUUGACUAUGAUGAUGAAUUCCAUGACAAAUGCAGAGCCUGAAUCUGAUGAAUGAAUGAAGCUUGUGCAUUAUGGAUUGCGAAAAUGCUUAGAUAAGGGAUUUGUAGCAAGAUGAUGCAGCUCAGGAUGCCAAAGAAAGGUGAAUUGAGCACAUUGUCCUGGAAUACGUGAAUAGAAGAUGAUCCCAAGUAUUGACAUGUGAGUUGUCGUUCCUGCUGGGAUUAAUCCACGGUUUCUCUCAGACAAUCUUUGAUUAAUUUUUGAUGUCUUUGCCUUGUUGUGCCUCCUUGCAAUUAGUAUGAUUAUUAUGGAGGUUCAAUCUACCAGCCCGAGUGUACAAAUAAAAAAUAUUAGAUAUUUGGGUUAGAUUUAAGAUGGCUUUAGAUACAUGAAUGGAUAAGGGAAACUUGCAACCAUUCAGGAGUGGCAAUAGAUUUCUUUUUUCGUACUACCAUGUAGAGCUCCCAGUUUUUUGUCUUGCCAAUAAAGUUUGUAUGUUUAUGAUA
Molecule: long non-coding RNA, 5385 nt
Organism: Musa acuminata AAA Group (dessert banana)
Lineage: Eukaryota; Viridiplantae; Streptophyta; Magnoliopsida; Zingiberales; Musaceae
Exons: 3
Source: RefSeq, a predicted model, not a curated record